CAUAUUGCACAAUAGGGGAAACCCUGAUGCAGCGACGCCGCGUGAGUGAGGAAGUCUUUCGGUCGGUGAAGCUCUAUCAGCCGGGAAGAAAAUGAGGGUACCUGACUAAGAGGCUCCGGAUAACUACGUUCCAGCCGCCGCGGUAAUACGGAGGGGGCAAGCGUUAUCCGGAUUUACUGGGUGUAAAGGGAGCGUAGGUGGUGCGUCAAGUCAGAUGUGAAAGCCCAGGGCUCAACCCCGGGACUGCAUUUGAAACUGUCGAACUAGAGUGCAGGAGAGGUAAGUGGAAUUCCUAGUGUAGCGGUGAAAUGCGUAGAUAUUAGGAGGAACACCAGUGGCGAAGGCGGCUUACUGGACUGUAACUGACAAUGAGGCUCGAAAGCGUGGGGAGCAAACAGG
RNAcentral lists this ribosomal RNA (399 nucleotides) under uncultured bacterium. RNAcentral describes it as "partial 16S ribosomal RNA". It matches the Rfam family "Bacterial small subunit ribosomal RNA", at positions 359 to 776 of the family's 1533-position model. The record is from RNAcentral.